This 106-nucleotide ribosomal RNA is filed under the name uncultured bacterium. RNAcentral's name for it is "partial 16S ribosomal RNA". It matches the Rfam family "Bacterial small subunit ribosomal RNA", at positions 1365 to 1482 of the family's 1533-position model. The record is from RNAcentral.
AAUACGUUCCCGGGUCUUGUACACACCGCCCGUCAUACCAUGAAAGUCGGUAGCACCCGAAAUGGUCGCUUUUGCGACCCCUAAGGUGAGAUCGAUGAUUGGGGUA